GGAGAAGACAGCAGGAAAAAGGAACUAAACAAAUGUGUUUAUUCACAAACCCUCCUACCACGAGGAACUGGAAUCUCUGAUGGAAGGUUCAUCAGGGCUGGAACAAGCAGGGGAAGCAGAUUGAGAUGAGCAUUACAGAUCUGCCGUGCUCUGGUUUAUCGUUUGUUCCCAGCAAUACACAGAGGAUUGGGUUUGAGCCACGUCUCCACGUUUCCCUCCAGACGCUGUAAAGGUGCAGAGCUGUUUGGUAUUCAGGGAGUGCUGGAGGCUGAGGGUCACUCAAUAUUCCAGUGUGAGGAGUGGGUUGCUCAGUAUUCCAGUAUUGUAUGGAGCUGCAAUGAUUCUGAUGGAGCUUCUGGCAGAGAGAUUUAUCUCCAGGAUGGUUUUCCGAUCACUUCCAAAGACAGAGAUUGUGAUCCCAAUUGAAGUGGAAGUCACUUCUCAGCUUAAAGAAAUGUAACAGCCCUGAUCUAGAUG
Molecule: long non-coding RNA, 477 nt
Organism: Ficedula albicollis (Collared flycatcher)
Lineage: Eukaryota; Metazoa; Chordata; Aves; Passeriformes; Muscicapidae
Exons: 4
Source: RefSeq, a predicted model, not a curated record